RNAcentral lists this unclassified non-coding RNA (303 nucleotides) under Hevea brasiliensis (rubber tree). Lineage: Eukaryota; Viridiplantae; Streptophyta; Magnoliopsida; Malpighiales; Euphorbiaceae. The record is from RNAcentral.
GAGGAAGCACAAAGGGUUAAAGCCAUUGAUUGCCUGGAUUGGUGUGAGGUUGAAAUUAAUAUUUCACAGUUCUUCAAAGGCUACUUAGAGGGUCGAAGGUAUAAAAAUGGGUGGCCAGAGAUGCUGAAGCUGAAGGAUUGGCCCCCAUCAAAUUCAUUUGAAGAAUGUUUGCCAAGGCACGGUGCUGAAUUUAUAGCUAUGCUUCCGUUUAGUGAGUAUACCCAUCCAAAUACUGGUCUUUUAAAUCUAGCUACAAGGCUUCCUGCUGUCUUAAAGCCAGACUUGGGACCCAAAACAUACAUU